GUUGUCCGGAAUUAUUGGGCGUAAAGAGCUCGUAGGCGGUUUGUCGCGUCUGCUGUGAAAACUCGGGGCUCAACUCCGAGCUUGCAGUGGGUACGGGCAGACUAGAGUGCGGUAGGGGAGACUGGAAUUCCUGGUGUAGCGGUGGAAUGCGCAGAUAUCAGGAGGAACACCGGUGGCGAAGGCGGGUCUCUGGGCCGUAACUGACGCUGAGGCGCGAAAGCGUGGGGAGCAAACAGG
This 237-nucleotide ribosomal RNA is filed under the name uncultured bacterium. Its description in RNAcentral is "partial 16S ribosomal RNA". It matches the Rfam family "Bacterial small subunit ribosomal RNA", at positions 540 to 776 of the family's 1533-position model. The record is from RNAcentral.